Molecule: long non-coding RNA, 211 nt
Filed under: Mytilus galloprovincialis (Mediterranean mussel)
Lineage: Eukaryota; Metazoa; Mollusca; Bivalvia; Mytilida; Mytilidae
Source: RNAcentral
CAGGUAUCAGACAAACUAAUGAACAACUAAAUCGUUGACGCAAGUUUGUUUUAAUCAAUUUGCGACGAACUCUUACUUUGUGGCAUGCACAAUAGAAGUCCCCGUUUAAACCAAAUUUGGCUGCGUAUUGAUACAUCCAGCAAGACAAAACGGAUGCCGCCUCUCCAGCAUUGGUUUUACUUACUGCCGGACAAGAUAGAUCACGUGACCA